CCUACGGGGGGCAGCAGUGGGGGAUAUUGGACAAUGGGGGGAACCCUGAUCCAGCGACGCCGCGUGAGUGAAGAAGUAUUUCGGUAUGUAAAGCUCUGUCAGCAGGGAAGAAAGAAAUGACGGUACCUGACCAAGAAGCCCCGGCUAACUACGUGCCAGCAGCCGCGGUAAUACGUAGGGGGCAAGCGUUAUCCGGAAUUACUGGGUGUAAAGGGAGCGUAGACGGUUAAGUAAGUCUGGAGUGAAGGGCCGGGGCCCAACCCCGGGACUGCUCUGGAAACUAUUGAACUUGAGUGCAGGGGAGGUAAGCGGAAUUCCUAGUGUAGCGGUGAAAUGCUUAGAUAUUAGGAGGAACACCAGUGGCGAAGGCGGCUUACUGGACUGUAACUGACGUUGAGGCUCGAAAGCGUGGGGAGCAAACAGGAUUAGAUACCCUUGUAGUC
Molecule: ribosomal RNA, 443 nt
Filed under: uncultured bacterium
Lineage: Bacteria
Description: partial 16S ribosomal RNA
Rfam family: Bacterial small subunit ribosomal RNA
Source: RNAcentral